RNAcentral lists this ribosomal RNA (1131 nucleotides) under Neofusicoccum mediterraneum. Its description in RNAcentral is "eukaryotic LSU rRNA". The stretch from base 464 to 1131 matches the Rfam family "Eukaryotic large subunit ribosomal RNA", at positions 1 to 699 of the family's 3401-position model. The record is from RNAcentral. Lineage: Eukaryota; Fungi; Ascomycota; Dothideomycetes; Botryosphaeriales; Botryosphaeriaceae.
UCCCACCCUAUGUGUACCUACCUCUGUUGCUUUGGCGGGCCGCGGUCCUCCGCACCGGCGCCCUUCGGGGGGCUGGCCAGCGCCCGCCAGAGGACCAUAAAACUCCAGUCAGUGAACUUCGCAGUCUGAAAAACAAGUUAAUAAACUAAAACUUUCAACAACGGAUCUCUUGGUUCUGGCAUCGAUGAAGAACGCAGCGAAAUGCGAUAAGUAAUGUGAAUUGCAGAAUUCAGUGAAUCAUCGAAUCUUUGAACGCACAUUGCGCCCCUUGGUAUUCCGAGGGGCAUGCCUGUUCGAGCGUCAUUUCAACCCUCAAGCUCUGCUUGGUAUUGGGCCCCGUCCUCCACGGACGCGCCUUAAAGACCUCGGCGGUGGCGUCUUGCCUCAAGCGUAGUAGAAAACACCUCGCUUUGGAGCGCACGGCGUCGCCCGCCGGACGAACCUUUGAAUUAUUUCUCAAGGUUGACCUCGGAUCAGGUAGGGAUACCCGCUGAACUUAAGCAUAUCAAUAAGCGGAGGAAAAGAAACCAACAGGGAUUGCCUUAGUAACGGCGAGUGAAGCGGCAAUAGCUCAAAUUUGAAAGCUGGCCCCUUCGGGGUCCGCGUUGUAAUUUGUAGAGGAUGAUUCGGCGAGGGCUCCCGUCUAAGUCCCUUGGAACAGGGCGUCAUAGAGGGUGAGAAUCCCGUAUGUGAUGGGCUGCCUUAGCCAUGUGAAUCUCCUUCGACGAGUCGAGUUGUUUGGGAAUGCAGCUCUAAAUGGGAGGUAAAUUUCUUCUAAAGCUAAAUACCGGCCAGAGACCGAUAGCGCACAAGUAGAGUGAUCGAAAGAUGAAAAGCACUUUGGAAAGAGAGUUAAAAAGUACGUGAAAUUGUUGAAAGGGAAGCGCUUGCAGCCAGACUUGUCCGCAGUUGCUCAGCUUGUCUCCUGACAGGCGUACUCUUCUGCGGCCAGGCCAGCAUCAGUUCGGGCGGUCGGAUAAAGACUGAGGAAUGUAGCUCCUCUCGGGGAGUGUAUAGCCCUGGGUGCAUGCGGCCAGCCUGGACUGAGGAUCUCGCUCGCUAGAUGCUGGCGUAAUGCUGUAAGCGCCCGUCUGACACGAACAGAGUCUAACAUCUAUGCAAUGUUGGUGU